Molecule: ribosomal RNA, 498 nt
Filed under: uncultured Glomeromycotina
Lineage: Eukaryota; Fungi; Glomeromycota
Description: partial small subunit ribosomal RNA
Rfam family: Eukaryotic small subunit ribosomal RNA
Source: RNAcentral
CCAAUAGCGUAUAUUAAAGUUGUUGCAGUUAAAAAGCUCGUAGUUGAAUUUCGGGAUCAAUACGUCGGUCGUGCUUCGGUACGUACUAACAUUAUUGAUUUCUCCCUUCUGACGAAUCGUGAUGUCAUUAAUUUGGUGUUACGGGAGUUAGGACUGUUACUUUGAAAAAAUUAGAGUGUUUAAAGCAAGCAAUAGCUGGAAUACAUUAGCAUGGAAUAAGGUAAUAGGAGGUUCGAACCUAUUUUGUUGGUUUCUAGGAUCUACGUAAUGAUUAAUAGGGAUAGUUGGGGGCAUUAGUAUUCAAUUGUCAGAGGUGAAAUUCUUGGAUUUAUUGAAGACUAACUACUGCGAAAGCAUUUGCCAAGGAUGUUUUCAUUAAUCAAGAACGAAAGUUAGGGGAUCGAAGACGAUCAGAUACCGUCGUAGUCUUAACCAUAAACUAUGCCGACUAGGGAUCGGAUGAUGUUAAUUUUAUAAUGACUCAUUCGGCGCCUUACG